GGCGAGGUAGCUCAGUUGGUUAGAGCGCAGGAUUCAUAAUCCUGUUGUCGGCAGUUCAAGUCUGCCUCUCGUCA
RNAcentral lists this transfer RNA (74 nucleotides) under bacterium. RNAcentral's name for it is "tRNA-Met". It matches the Rfam family "tRNA". Rfam says of the family: Transfer RNA (tRNA) molecules are approximately 80 nucleotides in length. Their secondary structure includes four short double-helical elements and three loops (D, anti-codon, and T loops). Further hydrogen bonds mediate the characteristic L-shaped molecular structure. tRNAs have two regions of fundamental functional importance: the anti-codon, which is responsible for specific mRNA codon recognition, and the 3' end, to which the tRNAs corresponding amino acid is attached (by aminoacyl-tRNA synthetases). tRNAs cope with the degeneracy of the genetic code in two manners: having more than one tRNA (with a specific anti-codon) for a particular amino acid; and 'wobble' base-pairing, i.e. permitting non-standard base-pairing at the 3rd anti-codon position. The record is from RNAcentral. RNAcentral also lists the same sequence under 1 other name.